CCUGAAGGGGAAAAAAUGUUUAUGACAAAACACUUUAGCCACAUAAGCAUACAGUAGCGGGGUGGGGGCAAUAAUGGCCAUCAAUUAAUAAUAUUAUUAAUGAUAAUAAUUGAUAAUGAUAAUGAUAGCGGAGCUCCAUAGGUAUGGGGAAAUGGUAUAUAACUAUGCGACUUUUGGUCAUCGCGCGGGUAGCCUGUGCUCGCCCGCUAGCCAAUUUUGCGAUAAUUUCGCUAUACGUCUCCCAACAAAAAAAAAAAAAAAUUAAAAAUGAAUACACUUUUGCACUAUCUGGGAUUGCUAAAUCCGUUAGAGAACCCUCACAGUUACAGUAAAAACCUACAAUAAUUUGAAUUUCUGUAUUUUGUGCUUGCACUAUCACGGGAACCCUGCGUCUAAAUUUUUCGCGCGUUUUUGCUCUUGCAACUCGCGGCCAACACAGUGAAUAUUGUUUUUUGCAUUAUUUUUUCGUCGUGGCUGAAACCAAGAAAAAAAAAAUCGAUAAACUUAACACUUUUAUUAAAUAAAGACGUACAAACGAUGGACGGAAGGACAAGCGAUGGGUUUCGGAAAAGGAGGUGAAUCCACCCACAAAAGAAGCUCCAAACAAGCUGCCAGCUUGGGGACAUGAUGUUAGGGCAGGAUGUACGUAUAAGGCAUUGCAUAUUGCUGCAUUAAGUUAAUGCAGCUAAGGGAAAAGUAGGAUAACUUGAGUAACAAAAAGAUAGAUUAAUAGUUUUGCAAAUGAAAACUUGUUAUAAAAUACUGUACCAGACUAAUAUAAUAAACAAAUAUUUAAAGAUAAA
This is a long non-coding RNA of Nematostella vectensis (starlet sea anemone), 803 nucleotides long. RefSeq lists it as uncharacterized. The record is from RefSeq and is a predicted model, not a curated record. The transcript is spliced from 2 exons. Lineage: Eukaryota; Metazoa; Cnidaria; Anthozoa; Actiniaria; Edwardsiidae.